RNAcentral lists this ribosomal RNA (1013 nucleotides) under Autalia longicornis. RNAcentral describes it as "eukaryotic LSU rRNA". It matches the Rfam family "Eukaryotic large subunit ribosomal RNA", at positions 80 to 847 of the family's 3401-position model. Lineage: Eukaryota; Metazoa; Arthropoda; Insecta; Coleoptera; Staphylinidae. The record is from RNAcentral.
UUAGUAACGGCGAGCGAACAGGGAAAAGCCCAGCACUGAAUCGCGCGGCCCGCUGGGACGCUGCGAAAUGUAGUGUUUGGGAGGGUCCGUCAUUCCGUGGAUCGGCAUUGCGUCCAAGUCCUUCUUGAAGGGGGCCAUUUACCCUGAGAGGGUGCCAGGCCCGUAGCGACCAUUGCCGUUUGCGGAAGGAUCUCUCCUUAGAGUCGGGUUGCUUGAGAGUGCAGCCCUAAGUGGGUGGUAAACUCCAUCUAAGGCUAAAUAUAACCACGAGACCGAUAGCGAACAAGUACCGUGAGGGAAAGUUGAAAAGAACUUUGAAGAGAGAGUUCAAUAGUACGUGAAACCGUUUAAGGGUAAACCUGAGAAACCCGAAAGUUCGAACGGGGAGAUUCAGCGUGUCCCGCGCAGGAUUGCGAGUGCCGCUUGGUAGACUUUCGUCGUUCGCGGCGAUCGCUCCUUGCGUGCGCCGUAGCCUGUCGAGCGCGUGCACUUCUCCUCCAGUAGGACGCCGCGACCCGUUGGGUGUCGGUCUGAGGCUUGCAGGGCAGCCCGUAUGUCGGCUUCGGUCGAUGUGCGGACCUGCGAUGUCCCGUCCGACUGCUCGACGGUAGCACAAAGGCGCAGAGCCGCGACUAGCUCGCGUUCGGCCCGAUGCAAGCGCGGCCGGUUACUCGAUCAUCGGACUUAGUGCCGAUCUCGGGGCCGGUCGACUGUUGGUGUCGGUGUUCCCGGACAGACUCUGUUCACGCCUGUCAGCGGCGCUAUAGCUUUGGGUACUUUCAGGACCCGUCUUGAAACACGGACCAAGGAGUCUAGCAUGUGCGCGAGUCAUUGGGACUAUCGAAUCCUAAAGGCGAAAUGAAAGUGAACGCUGAGCUUGCUCGGCUUAGGGAAGACCGGUGGCCUUGCGUCGCCGUGCACUCCCGGGACGUCUCGUUCUCAUUGCGAGUUGAGGCGUACCUAGAGCGUACAUGCUGGGACCCGAAAGAUGGUGAACUAUGCCUGGUCAGGAC